AAGUCGUAACAAGGUUUCCGUAGGUGAACCUGCGGAAGGAUCAUUCUUGUAUCUCACCACUUUCAGUGGCAAACUCUGUGAACUAUACCUCUACUGUAGUGUAGCAACUGCGGUGGGCGAAUCUGGCGCAAGCGGUGAUGCUUGUAUAGCCACGCUUUUUGGAUUGUGGUUUACUGCUGCAUCAAGCGCAACGCCAGUGCUGUUUCUCGCCCAGUUGUUGCCCUCGUCACUUAACCCUCAACUUCAACCAUCAAACUUACUUAAAUAUUAAUCUAAAUACAACUUUUAGCAACGGAUCUCUAGGCUCUC
RNAcentral lists this unclassified non-coding RNA (309 nucleotides) under fungal sp. RNAcentral describes it as "partial internal transcribed spacer region". The stretch from base 1 to 46 matches the Rfam family "Eukaryotic small subunit ribosomal RNA", at positions 1786 to 1831 of the family's 1831-position model. Lineage: Eukaryota; Fungi. The record is from RNAcentral.